GGCGGGAGCCGGCCCGGAGGGGCGAGGCAGCCCGCGGUGGGGGAGGGAGAGGGGCCGGUUCGGGCCGAGGAGAGGUAGCGAGGGCCGACAAGGGCUGAGGCGAGCCGGCCGGGGCUGAGGCGAGCCGGCCGGAGGGCAGCGGAAGGCUGGCGCCCUGCGGCGGGCGCUCGCAGGUCAGGAGGCGGCUGCGCCGGUGGCUCCCCGCGUUCCUGGCUCUCGGCUGUUGGGCUCCCCACGCCAUGUUCUCGGUGCUCUCGUAUGGCAGGCUGGUAGCCCGGGCAGUCCUGGGCGGCCUUUCACAGACGGACUCCCGUGACUACAGCUUGGUGACAGCCAGCUGUGGCUUUGGCAAAGAUUUCCGUAAGGGCAUCCUCAAGAAAGGCAUGUGCUACGGGGACGACGCCUGCUUCGUGGCCCGGCACCGGACGGCAGAUGUGCUGGGGGUAGCAGAUGGUGUUGGUGGCUGGAGAGACUAUGGGGUUGACCCUUCUCAGUUCUCAGGGACUCUAAUGCGAACUUGUGAACGUUUAGUUAAAGAAGGACGGUUUGUACCAAGCAAUCCUGUUGGGAUCCUCACCGCAGGUUAUUGUGAGCUGCUGCAGAACAAAGUACCUUUGCUUGGAAGCAGCACCGCGUGUAUAGUCGUUCUGGACAGAACAAGUCACCGUUUACAUACAGCCAACUUGGGAGAUUCUGGAUUUUUGGUGGUCAGGGGAGGAGAAGUAGUCCAUCGAUCUGAUGAGCAGCAGCAUUACUUCAACACUCCGUUCCAACUGUCAAUAGCUCCACCAGAAGCAGAAGGAGUUGUCUUAAGUGACAGCCCCGAUGCUGCUGACAGUACUUCUUUUGAUGUCCAACUUGGAGACAUUAUCUUGACUGCAACAGACGGACUGUUUGACAACAUGCCUGACUACAUGAUUCUGCAGGAGUUAAAAAAGCUGAAGAACUCCAACUAUGAGAGUAUACAGCAGACUGCCAGAAGCAUUGCUGAGCAAGCUCACGAGCUGGCGUAUGAUCCCACUUAUAUGUCGCCGUUCGCACAGUUUGCAUGUGACAAUGGAUUGAAUGUGAGAGGGGGAAAACCAGAUGACAUCACCGUCCUUCUUUCUAUUGUAGCUGAGUACACAGACUGACCUGCCCGCGUGUCGGCUCCUGACGUUCCGUUGUCCCCGAGCUCCCAGCCUCACACGCACGGUUUCCUGCUGGCAGGAUCGCUUUCUUUCUUCGCAGCCGAUCUCAGCGGCCGGUUCUUGAGCUCGUUGCCUGUCCUCAGACACAACUGAUGUCCUUGUUCAGAACCACUCUUGUAGUACACUGGUCUUUGUCUGCCAGCAAGAGAUAAAGAAGCUCAAGGCUUGAAGCAUGUCUUUCAGAGCUUAGUCGUUGCCGUUAAGAGGGGGAGGAUCAAUCCCAUAUUGUUUCUGCCUUUGGGAGGUGACUUUGAAAGGAAUAGAAUUGGGUUAUCAUCUUUCAAACUAGAUUCAAUAGCUACAACCUCUGCAAGAGGGCAUAUUACUCUAUUUACUCGAAAUGCUCACUGUUCGUUAGGGGGUAUGUUGCAGACCACAGUUCCAUAAGCAUAGUCUUGUUACAGUGAUAGCUGAGGUUUCGUGUUUCCAAGCUCCGGUUUUCAGGAGAUUUCUAACUGCUGUAAACAUUCUGCUCUUGCCAUCCAUGGUGUCAGCCUAGGAGCCUUUUCUAGUAUGGAAUUUCAAACCACCAUAGUUUAAGUUAGAUGGAUGCAGAUGUGUUUUGUGAUUGAUUAUUUUUUUUUUCAGGUGCUUAACUGUGAUCUUAAAAGUUCUGCAGAUCAUUCGUCCACAACAGGCCUGGUAUCUGGAUGUUUUGGCUGUGGAUAAAUUACUAUUUUUUAUUUUUAAAAACAAAAAUUAAAACUCAGUCUCCAAAAGCUGAGCUGGCCAAAGCUUGGGGCCCUUUUAGCAUUUUAACCCAUCUCGCCAGCGCGGGGUGACGUGGCAUCAAUGCUGCCGUGGGAGGUUGCACAAAGAACAGCUCAUCCUCAACUCUGAGCAUCUUUGCUUCGGAUGUGCACUCUAAACAUAUCAAACCUAAUUUCUUCCUAUGAACUUAAGCUGUCUGCGCACAAAAAACCAAAAGUUGGACAAAGAAAUGACAGGGCCCAUCCUAUCAAUUUUAAAUGAUGCAUGGAGCAGUACCACUUCUAGGAGUUAGAUUAUUGUGACUCUGCACCAGAAGAACAUACAAGGAAGGUGUUCCCUGAGAGACAAAGGAGGUGUGAGUGGAGCAUAGGCUGGCCUCAGCUGCUGCAGAAGCAGGGUGUUCCCAGGAACCAGUAGUUUGGGAGCAGCCAUCUGAAGAAAAAGGAAGAAUUCUCCAUACCAGUAACCACCUAACAUGGGAUCUCUGCAGCAGCGUUGCUCAGUGUUUGGGUCAAACAGGGCUAAGAUGUGGCGAACUGGGAGAACUCUGUGGUUCCUUGUGGCUUGUAUGGCUAUCUUUGGGAGACCUGCGACAUACAGUUUCCCUCUUAACCUAUUUUCUUUGUUUAUGAAGAAGGUAUGGCCGGAGAAAAAACAACAAACCAAAAAACAGAUCUUGGGACCAGACAGUUGUGACUGAGUCGGGGAGAAGGGAGAGGUGAAGGUCUGGUGAAGAGGGGAAGGGUUUGGGAUGGAGUCUCCAUCUCUCAGUAACAAAGGUCCAUUCUCCAGGGCAAAACCAGGUGGUGUGUGUAGACACUGACUGUGUGAAGUAGCUUCUUACGAAGAUAGCUGAAAUAACGAAGCAAAUUGAGUCUGUAUCUAAUGAGGAGGCUUUUCUGUUGUUGUUAAACCGAGACUAUCAUCUAUGCUUACCUAAGAGGCAAUUAUGUGAAUUUCAUGUCUGAGGUAUAACUUAUGCAGGAAUAGUUCUGUAAAUACAUUUAAAUGAAUUGUAAAGAUAUUUAAUAAAUAUAGUAUUUAUACUAAACUGCCUUUUUCUAAAGUA
Molecule: RNA transcript, 2970 nt
Organism: Dryobates pubescens (Downy woodpecker)
Lineage: Eukaryota; Metazoa; Chordata; Aves; Piciformes; Picidae
Gene: PPTC7
Gene name: protein phosphatase targeting COQ7
Exons: 7
Source: RefSeq, a predicted model, not a curated record